This 760-nucleotide long non-coding RNA is filed under the name Penaeus japonicus. RNAcentral describes it as "uncharacterized LOC122258549". Lineage: Eukaryota; Metazoa; Arthropoda; Malacostraca; Decapoda; Penaeidae. The record is from RNAcentral.
CCCAGAGAGAGGUGACAUUAGGCGAGCCGAGGGGAACACGAGCAGGAGAUUCUAUCUGUCUUACCUGAGACACCAUCUUCCUCGCCUCUUGCCUCAGGCGCCAUUUUCAUCGCCAUGAGGGUGACGUCCCCCCAAGACACGUUUACCAAAUUAAACCCGCUAUAAGUAAGUGCACUCAUUUCUGUCAUGCCAUUAAUAGGAAACCACAAAUUAUUAUAAUAAAACAUUGAUAAGAUUGUACUUAAAUUACGUAUUAUAAUGUUACUGGUAGUAAUUAUAAGUAAUAGAUGUAUUGUAAAAGUUUUUUUUUUAUCAACAGUGAAACUUAGAUUUAACUUGGUAUAUAAAACUUUUGUAAACUUAUAGUGAUAAAUUAUUAUCAAUAUUUGAACCUGUGACUGGUAAAUUUAAUGAAAAACUUUCGAUGCUAUGUCUCACAUAUGUUAGUGAGAUUGUUGAUUAAUCUCUGUUACACGUUCCUAAAAUAAAGUUAAUUCGGGUUCAAAGGCGGAUUUCAAAGGCUGAGUUCAAAGGCUGAGUUCAUAAGGUGAGUUUAAGGCCGGAACUCCAGACUGAAUGCUCAGGUCAUGAUUGCUCACGACUAACACGUCACGACCGCCUCUCAACGAAGAAGAAAGAAGAAUGAAGACAGAAAUCUUCAGAGAGUGUCAGAGUGAUUGCCAUGAGAUAUAUAUAUAAAAGAAGUUAUUUUUGUAUGUGUCGCGUUAUUAUGUGAUCUAAUAUACAGUUUAAGGCUUGA